GGUCGGGUGGUGUAGUGGUUAUCACGUUUCGUUUACAUUCUGAACCGAAAAGGCCGCGAGUUCAAUCCUCGCCCUGAUCA
RNAcentral lists this transfer RNA (80 nucleotides) under Elsinoe ampelina. Its description in RNAcentral is "tRNA-Val". It matches the Rfam family "tRNA". Rfam says of the family: Transfer RNA (tRNA) molecules are approximately 80 nucleotides in length. Their secondary structure includes four short double-helical elements and three loops (D, anti-codon, and T loops). Further hydrogen bonds mediate the characteristic L-shaped molecular structure. tRNAs have two regions of fundamental functional importance: the anti-codon, which is responsible for specific mRNA codon recognition, and the 3' end, to which the tRNAs corresponding amino acid is attached (by aminoacyl-tRNA synthetases). tRNAs cope with the degeneracy of the genetic code in two manners: having more than one tRNA (with a specific anti-codon) for a particular amino acid; and 'wobble' base-pairing, i.e. permitting non-standard base-pairing at the 3rd anti-codon position. Lineage: Eukaryota; Fungi; Ascomycota; Dothideomycetes; Myriangiales; Elsinoaceae. The record is from RNAcentral.